AUUGAACGCUGGCGGCAGGCCUAACACAUGCAAGUCGAGCGGAUGAAGGGAGCUUGCUCCUGGAUUCAGCGGCGGACGGGUGAGUAAUGCCUAGGAAUCUGCCUGGUAGUGGGGGAUAACGUCCGGAAACGGGCGCUAAUACCGCAUACGUCCUGAGGGAGCAAGUGGGGGAUCUUCGGACCUCACGCUAUCAGAUGAGCCUAGGUCGGAUUAGCUAGUUGGUGGGGUAAAGGCCUACCAAGGCGACGAUCCGUAACUGGUCUGAGAGGAUGAUCAGGCACACUGGAACGUAGGCACGGUCCAGGCGCCUACGGGAGGGAGCAGUGGGGAACAUUGGACAAUGGGGGGAAGCCUUGUCCAGUCAUGGCGCGUGUGUUGAAGAGGUCUUCCGAUUGUAAAGCACGUUAAGGUGGGAGGAAGGGCAGUAAGUUAAUACCUUGCUUGUUUGACGGUACCAACAGAAGAAGCACCGGCUAACUUCGUG
This 484-nucleotide ribosomal RNA is filed under the name uncultured bacterium. RNAcentral's name for it is "partial 16S ribosomal RNA". It matches the Rfam family "Bacterial small subunit ribosomal RNA", at positions 30 to 507 of the family's 1533-position model. The record is from RNAcentral.